UCAGAAGUGCGAAUGCUGACAUAAGUAACGAUAAAGCGGGUGAAAAGCCCGCUCGCCGGAAGACCAAGGGUUCCUGUCCAACGUUAAUCGGGGCAGGGUGAGUCGACCCCUAAGGCGAGGCCGAAAGGCGUAGUCGAUGGGAAACAGGUUAAUAUUCCUGUACUUGGUGUUACUGCGAAGGGGGGACGGAGAAGGCUAUGUUGGCCGGGCGACGGUUGUCCCGGUUUAAGCGUGUAGGCUGGUUUUCCAGGCAAAUCCGGAAAAUCAAGGCUGAGGCGUGAUGACGAGGCACUACGGUGCUGAAGCAACAAAUGCCCUGCUUCCAGGAAAAGCCUCUAAGCAUCAGGUAACAUCAAAUCGUACCCCAAACCGACACAGGUGGUCAGGUAGAGAAUACCAAGGCGCUUGAGAGAACUCGGGUGAAGGAACUAGGCAAAAUGGUGCCGUAACUUCGGGAGAAGGCACGCUGAUAUGUAGGUGAAGUCCCUCGCGGAUGGAGCUGAAAUCAGUCGAAGAUACCAGCUGGCUGCAACUGUUUAUUAAAAACACAGCACUGUGCAAACACGAAAGUGGACGUAUACGGUGUGACGCCUGCCCGGUGCCGGAAGGUUAAUUGAUGGGGUCAGCGCAAGCGAAGCUCUUGAUCGAAGCCCCGGUAAACGGCGGCCGUAACUAUAACGGUCCUAAGGUAGCGAAAUUCCUUGUCGGGUAAGUUCCGACCUGCACGAAUGGCGUAAUGAUGGCCAGGCUGUCUCCACCCGAGACUCAGUGAAAUUGAACUCGCUGUGAAGAUGCAGUGUACCCGCGGCAAGACGGAAAGACCCCGUGAACCUUUACUAUAGCUUGACACUGAACAUUGAGCCUUGAUGUGUAGGAUAGGUGGGAGGCUUGGAAGUGUGGACGCCAGUCUGCAUGGAGCCGACCUUGAAAUACCACCCUUUAAUGUUUGAUGUUCUAACGUUGACCCGUAAUCCGGGUUGCGGACAGUGUCUGGUGGGUAGUUUGACUGGGGCGGUCUCCUCCUAAAGAGUAACGGAGGAGCACGAAGGUUGGCUAAUCCUGGUCGGACAUCAGGAGGUUAGUGCAAUGGCAUAAGCCAGCUUGACUGCGAGCGUGACGGCGCGAGCAGGUGCGAAAGCAGGUCAUAGUGAUCCGGUGGUUCUGAAUGGAAGGGCCAUCGCUCAACGGAUAAAAGGUACUCCGGGGAUAACAGGCUGAUACCGCCCAAGAGUUCAUAUCGACGGCGGUGUUUGGCACCUCGAUGUCGGCUCAUCACAUCCUGGGGCUGAAGUAGGUCCCAAGGGUAUGGCUGUUCGCCAUUUAAAGUGGUACGCGAGCUGGGUUUAGAACGUCGUGAGACAGUUCGGUCCCUAUCUGCCGUGGGCGCUGGAGAACUGAGGGGGGCUGCUCCUAGUACGAGAGGACCGGAGUGGACGCAU
RNAcentral lists this ribosomal RNA (1439 nucleotides) under Escherichia coli. Its description in RNAcentral is "partial 23S ribosomal RNA". It matches the Rfam family "Bacterial large subunit ribosomal RNA", at positions 1282 to 2706 of the family's 2925-position model. Lineage: Bacteria; Pseudomonadati; Pseudomonadota; Gammaproteobacteria; Enterobacterales; Enterobacteriaceae. The record is from RNAcentral.